GUUUUUUCACUGCAGUCACACACUGAGAAUACAUACGCUGAGAUUACCUGUGAAGGACCGCUGGCUCAGGCGGCUCUCAGAGAUGAUGAAGUGAUCUACUCCACAGUCUCACCUGGAUAUCUUUAUCAGACUGACUCAUCAUUGGACUCAUCAUUGGACUGAAAUAAUAAUAAUAAUUAGUUACAUAACAAUGCUUGGGUGUGAGUGUGUGUAGUUUGUUGUAUCGUCAAGUUGUUUACCACAGCCUUUAUUUUACUCAUAAAUUGAAAGACACCAUUAUAAAACCAGCGGCGAAUUAGUCUUCCGGGUUCUGACGUCAAA
Long non-coding RNA from Sinocyclocheilus anshuiensis, 321 nucleotides. RefSeq lists it as uncharacterized. The record is from RefSeq and is a predicted model, not a curated record. NCBI's taxonomy places the organism in Eukaryota, Metazoa, Chordata, Actinopteri, Cypriniformes, Cyprinidae. The transcript is spliced from 3 exons.